This 392-nucleotide ribosomal RNA is filed under the name uncultured soil bacterium. Its description in RNAcentral is "bacterial SSU rRNA". It matches the Rfam family "Bacterial small subunit ribosomal RNA", at positions 26 to 419 of the family's 1533-position model. The record is from RNAcentral.
AGAUUGAACGCUGGCGGCAUGCCUAACACAUACAAGUCGAACGGGAGUAGCAAUACUCUAGUGGCGGACGGGUGAGGAAUACGUAGGAAUUUGCCCUUAAGUGGGGGAUAACCCGGGGAAACCCGGAUUAAUACCGCAUGACCUCGAAAGAGCAAAGUGGGGGAUCGCAAGACCUCACGCUUUUGGAGAAGCCUACGUCGGAUUAGCUAGUUGGUGAGGUAAUGGCUCACCAAGGCGACGAUCCGUAACUGGUCUGAGAGGAUGAUCAGUCACACCGGAACUGAGACACGGUCCGGACUCCUACGGGAGGCGAGCGAGGUGGGGAAUAGUUGGACAAUGGGCGACGAAGCCGUAGACUCCAGCAAUGGCCGCGGUGUGGUAGGAAGGAACGG